GGGUCGGCUGUUCUGGUAUUUCCUCGUAAUGUGAACAGCCCUUCCGGUUGUUGAGUCAGGCUCGUCGUGGCAACUCACGUAGCCACGCUGCGGAGUUGAGGAAAACCACAGGCAACUGAAAGAUGGAACCAGAAGAUGUUACAGAGGAACCAGCCAGUGAGCCUGGUGCAGUUAGCAAGCUAUGCACUAGCAUUGGGCAGCGAUAUCAGAAGGUCUUGGAUGAUGCAACGCCUCACGUGCGACGACGAUGGAUCCUGGCAGGCCUCUUCAAUGUUCUUUUCUUGGGCC
Molecule: long non-coding RNA, 288 nt
Organism: Pollicipes pollicipes
Lineage: Eukaryota; Metazoa; Arthropoda; Thecostraca; Pollicipedomorpha; Pollicipedidae
Exons: 3
Source: RefSeq, a predicted model, not a curated record